GGGUUGUGAGGUUAAGCGACUAAGCGUACACGGUGGAUGCCCUGGCAGUCAGAGGCGAUGAAGGACGUGCUAAUCUGCGAUAAGCGUCGGUAAGGUGAUAUGAACCGUUAUAACCGGCGAUUUCCGAAUGGGGAAACCCAGUGUGUUUCGACACACUAUCAUUAACUGAAUCCAUAGGUUAAUGAGGCGAACCGGGGGAACUGAAACAUCUAAGUACCCCGAGGAAAAGAAAUCAACCGAGAUUCCCCCAGUAGCGGCGAGCGAACGGGGAGCAGCCCAGAGCCUGAAUCAGUGUGUGUGUUAGUGGAAGCGUCUGGAAAGGCGCGCGAUACAGGGUGACAGCCCCGUACACAAAAAUGCACAUGCUGUGAGCUCGAUGAGUAGGGCGGGACACGUGGUAUCCUGUCUGAAUAUGGGGGGACCAUCCUCCAAGGCUAAAUACUCCUGACUGACCGAUAGUGAACCAGUACCGUGAGGGAAAGGCGAAAAGAACCCCGGCGAGGGGAGUGAAAAAGAACCUGAAACCGUGUACGUACAAGCAGUGGGAGCACGCUUAGGCGUGUGACUGCGUACCUUUUGUAUAAUGGGUCAGCGACUUAUAUUCUGUAGCAAGGUUAACCGAAUAGGGGAGCCGAAGGGAAACCGAGUCUUAACUGGGCGUUAAGUUGCAGGGUAUAGACCCGAAACCCGGUGAUCUAGCCAUGGGCAGGUUGAAGGUUGGGUAACACUAACUGGAGGACCGAACCGACUAAUGUUGAAAAAUUAGCGGAUGACUUGUGGCUGGGGGUGAAAGGCCAAUCAAACCGGGAGAUAGCUGGUUCUCCCCGAAAGCUAUUUAGGUAGCGCCUCGUGAAUUCAUCUCCGGGGGUAGAGCACUGUUUCGGCAAGGGGGUCAUCCCGACUUACCAACCCGAUGCAAACUGCGAAUACCGGAGAAUGUUAUCACGGGAGACACACGGCGGGUGCUAACGUCCGUCGUGAAGAGGGAAACAACCCAGACCGCCAGCUAAGGUCCCAAAGUCAUGGUUAAGUGGGAAACGAUGUGGGAAGGCCCAGACAGCCAGGAUGUUGGCUUAGAAGCAGCCAUCAUUUAAAGAAAGCGUAAUAGCUCACUGGUCGAGUCGGCCUGCGCGGAAGAUGUAACGGGGCUAAACCAUGCACCGAAGCUGCGGCAGCGACGCUUAUGCGUUGUUGGGUAGGGGAGCGUUCUGUAAGCCUGCGAAGGUGUGCUGUGAGGCAUGCUGGAGGUAUCAGAAGUGCGAAUGCUGACAUAAGUAACGAUAAAGCGGGUGAAAAGCCCGCUCGCCGGAAGACCAAGGGUUCCUGUCCAACGUUAAUCGGGGCAGGGUGAGUCGACCCCUAAGGCGAGGCCGAAAGGCGUAGUCGAUGGGAAACAGGUUAAUAUUCCUGUACUUGGUGUUACUGCGAAGGGGGGACGGAGAAGGCUAUGUUGGCCGGGCGACGGUUGUCCCGGUUUAAGCGUGUAGGCUGGUUUUCCAGGCAAAUCCGGAAAAUCAAGGCUGAGGCGUGAUGACGAGGCACUACGGUGCUGAAGCAACAAAUGCCCUGCUUCCAGGAAAAGCCUCUAAGCAUCAGGUAACAUCAAAUCGUACCCCAAACCGACACAGGUGGUCAGGUAGAGAAUACCAAGGCGCUUGAGAGAACUCGGGUGAAGGAACUAGGCAAAAUGGUGCCGUAACUUCGGGAGAAGGCACGCUGAUAUGUAGGUGAAGUCCCUUGCGGAUGGAGCUGAAAUCAGUCGAAGAUACCAGCUGGCUGCAACUGUUUAUUAAAAACACAGCACUGUGCAAACACGAAAGUGGACGUAUACGGUGUGACGCCUGCCCGGUGCCGGAAGGUUAAUUGAUGGGGUCAGCGCAAGCGAAGCUCUUGAUCGAAGCCCCGGUAAACGGCGGCCGUAACUAUAACGGUCCUAAGGUAGCGAAAUUCCUUGUCGGGUAAGUUCCGACCUGCACGAAUGGCGUAAUGAUGGCCAGGCUGUCUCCACCCGAGACUCAGUGAAAUUGAACUCGCUGUGAAGAUGCAGUGUACCCGCGGCAAGACGGAAAGACCCCGUGAACCUUUACUAUAGCUUGACACUGAACAUUGAGCCUUGAUGUGUAGGAUAGGUGGGAGGCUUUGAAGUGUGGACGCCAGUCUGCAUGGAGCCGACCUUGAAAUACCACCCUUUAAUGUUUGAUGUUCUAACGUUGACCCGUAAUCCGGGUUGCGGACAGUGUCUGGUGGGUAGUUUGACUGGGGCGGUCUCCUCCUAAAGAGUAACGGAGGAGCACGAAGGUUGGCUAAUCCUGGUCGGACAUCAGGAGGUUAGUGCAAUGGCAUAAGCCAGCUUGACUGCGAGCGUGACGGCGCGAGCAGGUGCGAAAGCAGGUCAUAGUGAUCCGGUGGUUCUGAAUGGAAGGGCCAUCGCUCAACGGAUAAAAGGUACUCCGGGGAUAACAGGCUGAUACCGCCCAAGAGUUCAUAUCGACGGCGGUGUUUGGCACCUCGAUGUCGGCUCAUCACAUCCUGGGGCUGAAGUAGGUCCCAAGGGUAUGGCUGUUCGCCAUUUAAAGUGGUACGCGAGCUGGGUUUAGAACGUCGUGAGACAGUUCGGUCCCUAUCUGCCGUGGGCGCUGGAGAACUGAGGGGGGCUGCUCCUAGUACGAGAGGACCGGAGUGGACGCAUCACUGGUGUUCGGGUUGUCAUGCCAAUGGCACUGCCCGGUAGCUAAAUGCGGAAGAGAUAAGUGCUGAAAGCAUCUAAGCACGAAACUUGCCCCGAGAUGAGUUCUCCCUGACUCCUUGAGAGUCCUGAAGGAACGUUGAAGACGACGACGUUGAUAGGCCGGGUGUGUAAGCGCAGCGAUGCGUUGAGCUAACCGGUACUAAUGAACCGUGAGGCUUAACCUUACAACGCCGAAGCUGUU
RNAcentral lists this ribosomal RNA (2930 nucleotides) under Shigella boydii. Its description in RNAcentral is "bacterial LSU rRNA". It matches the Rfam family "Bacterial large subunit ribosomal RNA". Lineage: Bacteria; Pseudomonadati; Pseudomonadota; Gammaproteobacteria; Enterobacterales; Enterobacteriaceae. The record is from RNAcentral.